RNAcentral lists this long non-coding RNA (433 nucleotides) under Elaeis guineensis (African oil palm). Its description in RNAcentral is "long non-coding RNA (EGUI_LNC053297)". The record is from RNAcentral. Lineage: Eukaryota; Viridiplantae; Streptophyta; Magnoliopsida; Arecales; Arecaceae.
GCUGCAAGUCGACCAUCCUUCUUCUCCACUUAAAGACUAUUUUCGCUAUCAUUUUUUUUAUCUCUUCUCCAUGCCUCCACCAAAUCCUUGCUGACCAUCCUAUCCUUUGUUCCGUCAUCAAUCCGCUUUCAAAAGAAGUUGCAGCUUCGCAUCAAGAAGAACACUGAUCCAAAAAUUUUUGUCAGUAGGAAGAUGAAUAUCUCCACCAUGCACGGCUAAUUCUCUUCUUCUCGAAAAAAGGACAUACAUUGUAACAGAUUUAUUUCAAUGUCUUAUUUUUUGUAUUCCUUUUAUUUUACAUCAAUGAAUGAUUUUUUUUUUAAAUAUGCAAAAUUGUUUCUUUAUAUUUUAAAGUUAGAUUUGGUUAAUUGAAAUAGUUUAUACUCUUUAAAGAUACGUCGUGAUCCAAAGAUACAAUAUGUACCAAGAGAGG